UACUUGGCACAUGCGUUUCGUCUAGUCUGUGUGACUGUGAGUUUGGGUUUCCUUUUCACAACAUAUUCGGCUUUUCAAGUUUACAUUUUCUGCUUAAUCAGUAAGCCGUCGAAUGGAGGGCAAGCAUAAACUCAUCAGUUCUUUGUGGACAUCACUAGUUUCUCCCAGAGUGGUAUAUCACUCAUCAGUCACGUCAGUCAUCAGGAAGUGAGGUUGUUCCAUUUAUUACACUCAAGUCUGGACGAAGGGACUUGAUCCACAGGGCUAGGGAAUGGCUCAACGUGACAAUUUGAGGUCAAGACAUGCCCCUGCACAGCCAUCAGAUCAAUCUGAAUCCACACCGCCCUCAUCAACCCAGUAUGACCACACCCAGCCUGACCACACCCAACUCGACCAUGCUCAAUCUGACCACACCAAACCACCUUCCCUUACUAGAGAGUGUGACCUAACAAGGAGAAAGCGGGUGACAUACCGAAGUAUCAAUAACCAAGACGAAAACAGUACAGCCAGCCUGUCAAACGCAGACACACCCAAGCCAGUCCUAUCAAAAGGAAAUGCCUCUGUCGAGGAUCCUGCACCAUGGCCAAGGAGUAGACUGCUUAUAGUGUUGCUUUUGUUUCGUUGGGUCAACGCCGCUUUAACUCAGACAUUCUUUGUUCCUGACGAAUAUUGGCAAUCUCUUGAAGUGGCGCAUAAUAUCGUCUUUGGCUAUGGGUACCUAACGUGGGAGUGGCAGAUAGGUUUGAGGGGAUUCACACAUCCAGUCAUCUUUGCCAUCUUGUACAAGGCACUUCAGCUUCUCAACUUGGACCAUCCCAUGCUGUUGGUUUUACUCCCCAAGAUACUUCAAGCCACAUUUUCUGCGGUUGGUGAUUACUAUUUGUACAAGUUUGCUCAGUCUCUCUGGGGAGAACAUGUGGCCAGAUGGACUCUUUUCUCUCAUCUUAGUUCAUGGUUUGUUUUCUACACGGCAGCCAGGACGCUGACAAACACCAUGGAGAUGAUCCUGACGAUAUGGGCAAUGCAUUACUACCCGUGGCCUUCAUAUAUGAUCAAAGGCCAUGAUCCGAGUCAGCACAGAUAUUCCACCGGGGUUUACCUUCUCUUAGCUGCUCUUGCUUGUAUCAUGCGACCUACCGCUGCUAUUAUCUGGAUACCUCUUGGCCUGUGGCAUCUUGCAAGAUGUCGAAAUCUCAUCUUGGCUCUUCUAAUUGACUUCAUUCCUAUUGGUUGUGCAGCUCUCAGCUGUUCUUUACUAAUGGACAGAGUUUGUUACGGCAAGUGGAUUUUUGUCCACUUCAACUUUCUUCGCUUCAAUGCCUUAUACAACGUCAGCUCAUUUUAUGGAACUCAGCCAUGGCACUGGUACUUGACACAAGGGUUACCAGUGAUGAUUGGUACCCAUGUGUUCCCAUUCAUUUUAGGAAUAAGGUUAGCUGGUCGUGUCUAUCGCCCAUUGGUGCUGCUAAUGAUCUGGACACAAUUUGUUUAUAGCCUCUUAGAACACAAGGAAUACAGAUUCUUGCUACCACUUCUGCCAAUUGCUAUGUCUUUUUGUGGUGUAUGUUUUAGUAAGUUAUCCAAGGCCGGUCGAGCCAGUAGCUUAGCGAUAUUUAUCCUAGUCAGCAAUCUGCCAGUGUGUCUGUACACAGGCCUUGUACAUCAGCGAGGAACACUUGACGUGAUGAAUUACCUACAGACAGUAGCCCAUGCACCCAACGCUCACAUCAGAACACCCUCUGUCUUGUUCCUUAUGCCCUGCCACUCCACACCUUUAUUCAGUCAUAUACAUGCCAACAUCUCCAUGCGAUUCUUGGAAUGCCCACCCAACCUCAGCCGAUACCGCAAUGCGGAAAGUUCAUAUCAGGAUGAAGCAGAUGUCUUCUUUGACAACCCUAGCGAUUGGCUGAAAGCCGAGUUCAGACCGGGCAGUAACUUGCCAAGAUAUUUGGUGUUUUAUGACGUUCUCUUGCCUAAAAUCAAGAGAUUCUUAUCAAGCAGACGGUACUCACUAACUGCGUCAUUCUUCCACACACAUGUGCCCUUGGACAGUCGUAUCGGCAAAUAUGUUCUCGUGUAUUCCCGACCCCUCAAGAUACCACUCACGCCAGCGUAAUGGCGGACAGAAAACACCCAAGAUCCGAAUUGGAAUGUCAGAUAUAUAUAUGAUAGACUGUGCAUUCUAUAUACCCAGGGUGUCUGGGUCCCUAGAGUGACUUCACUAAAAUUUCAUUAAAAUCAUAAAAUAUAAUGGAGUAGGCCCAAAGCAUUGUGGGUACUCAUUAUAGGCAUUCAUUAUGCAUGCAGGGAAUUUACCCAAGUGACUGGUUAAAUAUACCAAUGCUGUAAGCAUGCUAACAGUUACUAGAAGAGCUGUCACCUUUUAGCCUGGUUCCUGCCUCUUUCAAAUAAGCAGCAGUUGCUGAAGUAACUUUGUGCAAUAUGCCUAAAUAAAUACAGAUCUGCAGAUUUCUUGGUAAGACACUACACACUUUUUGGUAUGAUGUGUCAUCCAGAUUCUCGGAUGAACAAUACUCAUGAAAUGUCUCAUCUGUUGCCCUAAAAGCAGUUUCUAGUCAGCAGAUAGAAUUUUCUGCAGACAGUAACUGACCGGUUUCGGACAAAGCAAUUCUGAUACCAUGACCUCAGUCCAGGCUAGGGCCCGUAAGAAAAUUACAGCUUAAGUUCUGAUUCUUUAAAUGAUCUGUAGAAUUAGUUUGUUGUCUGUAUGAUAAAAUGGGCAAGGUUUUGCAAGAAUGUAUUUAUUAGUGUACAGCUUGAAGAUAUCUCCACUUAAUACUGUGGAAAAUGUAUACACAUAGUUGAUAUUACACACAAUUUUUCUGUAUUGAGGGAUUUACACUUCAGAAAUUUCCUAAUAACUUCACGGUGUUUUAUAUAAGCCUCAAGCAGAUCCGCAAUUUUCCCAGCAAUGCAGGCUCCUUUAGUAGGAACUGCACUUUGCUGGUUCACCAACGACUAUGAAAUGCACGUGUUGCGGUCGCAUCUCCACCUACAGAAUGAGAACCUCCCACCAACAUGGCUCUUUUCAACCGAUGAGGGAGUAUUUGUGCUCUGUGCGAAUAGGGUCAAAGCGUAAAAGGUAAGAAGUGCACCAGUUUAGAAAAUGCAAUUAAUAUUGCAAGUAUUGCAAGUGUACAGUUGUGACCGAAACUAUGUGACCGUACUAUGUUUCAUUAUAAGGUUUACGACGACUCCUGGCUAUAGACCUUGUAUUCCCCAACUAAGUGUAUUUACGAUGUAUUUGAAAACGUUAAAUUCAAAGAGCCCAACUUCUACAAUUGCAUUCCGACUUUAAUUCUGCAAUUGCAUUUCGACCCCCCAAUCAUCUGGUACCAUCCCAUUGAGGGUUUCAAAUUUAUACUGUACCUUCAAGAAUACGACUGAAAUCGGGGACGCCAGGAAGCGCUGUUUUUUCCCUAGGCCAGGAAGGGUAGGAGUAAUUAUAAUAAAAUGGGCGUACCAUAACCUUUACGCAUGCGUUUUUCGUCUAGGAAGGUUGGGGGCAAUUAUGAUAAAAUUGGCGUACCAUAACCGUUACGCAUGCGUUUUUCGUCUAGGAAGGUUGGGGGCAAUUAUGAUAAAAUUGGCGUACCAUAACGGUUACGCAUGCGUUUUUCAUCUAGGAAGGUUGGGGGCAAUUAUUAUACAUGGGGUACACAAAUGGCUACAUGCAUUGUUGGCAUACACAGGUUUAUCCCUAACGAACACAGGGCGAAGGUUUCCCUCGUUUUCUCCGAAUGAUGCAAUCUACAUUCAGAAUUGGCAUCUUGACAUGAACAGAAAAAACCUUUUAAGCUUGUUAACGGUUGAGCUCUGAAGGCGAAUGACUCUGCAUUCGAUUAGGAUGCUUCCAUAUUUAUUUUAACAGAUAAAAAUAAGAGAAAACGUGUUUUCCUUAGAGGUGCUCUUGAAGUACAAGAAACAAUAAAACUGUACUGGCCGACUUGCAUGGUAGCGCUGUCACAAGAGCGUUAUACCUAGAACCGACAAGUCUCUACGUAGUAUUUCUUUUCUUAGUUGGGAAUUGGUGGAGGAUGUUUUAUUAUAGGAAAGUAAAACCCGACAUUUACCUCAGCACUAAAGUUCUGCUAUAUAUGAUAAUUACCACCAACCUUCCUGAGAUAAAAGUGACGUCGCCGCAAAUAUGGUCGGUUAUUCAUCGUCUACAGCUGAUGUAUUUUUAGUUUCAUGAUGUGCGAGCUGAUCAGCUACAGAAAAGAUGUAGGGGGCUUAGAAUGGCCACAGUCUGUAAAAUUGAAUUAAACACUUUCAGUCCAAGUGAAUGUAAA
This 4313-nucleotide unclassified non-coding RNA is filed under the name Acanthaster planci (crown-of-thorns starfish). RNAcentral describes it as "gPI mannosyltransferase 3-like, transcript variant X2". The record is from RNAcentral. Lineage: Eukaryota; Metazoa; Echinodermata; Asteroidea; Valvatida; Acanthasteridae.